RNAcentral lists this small RNA (78 nucleotides) under Salmonella enterica subsp. enterica. Its description in RNAcentral is "partial RtT sRNA". It matches the Rfam family "RtT RNA", at positions 49 to 130 of the family's 130-position model. Rfam says of the family: This family represents a bacterial cis-regulatory element known as RtT RNA. The record is from RNAcentral. Lineage: Bacteria; Pseudomonadati; Pseudomonadota; Gammaproteobacteria; Enterobacterales; Enterobacteriaceae.
UAAAACGUGAAGGAUAACGUUGCGUCAGCAACGGCCCGUAGGGCGAGGCAAAGCCGAGUCAUCCUGCACAACCCACCA